UGCCAGACUCCUACGGGAGGCAGCAGUGGGGAAUAUUGCACAAUGGGGGAAACCCUGAUGCAGCGACGCCGCGUGAGUGAGGAAGUAUUUCGGUAUGUAAAGCCCUAUCAGCAGGGAAGAAAAUGACGGUGCCUGACUAAGAAGCCCCGGCUAACUACGUGCCAGCAGCCGCGGUAAUACGUAGGGGGCAAGCGUUAUCCGGAUUUACUGGGUGUAAAGGGAGCGUAGACGGUCCUGCAAGCCAGAUGUGAAAGCCCGGGGCUCAACCCCGGGACUGCAUUUGGAACUGUAAGGCUAGAGUGUCGGAGAGGCAGGCGGAAUUCCUAGUGUAGCGGUGAAAUGCGUAGAUAUUAGGAGGAACACCAGUGGCGAAGGCGGCCUACUGGACGGUGACUGACGCUGAGGCUCGAAAGCGUGGGGAGCAAACAGGAUUAGAUACCCCUGUAGC
Molecule: ribosomal RNA, 448 nt
Filed under: uncultured bacterium
Lineage: Bacteria
Description: bacterial SSU rRNA
Rfam family: Bacterial small subunit ribosomal RNA
Source: RNAcentral